Molecule: long non-coding RNA, 571 nt
Filed under: Capra hircus (goat)
Lineage: Eukaryota; Metazoa; Chordata; Mammalia; Artiodactyla; Bovidae
Description: lncRNA (ENSCHIG00000007069.1)
Source: RNAcentral
GCCGUAGUUACACUAAUACUUGCCAUUGUGAAUCAAAUAGUCAAAGAAUUCAACCCAGCUUCCUUCUGGACAAUCAUUUAGAAGCCGAGUGUGUGGCCAAGCAAUCUGGAUGUGUGGAUGAAAUUGUCACACACGGCCAGGAUAAAUUCACUGCAGGUCUGUGGAGAUAGGUCUUUCUGCUUUGAGAUGAACUUCAAGAGAAUUCUAGGCCUUUGAUCUCUCAGGACGCGUGUCCAAAUUGCGGCUCCCACAGAAGCCAGUUCAACCUGGUCCUUGGCACUUCCCAUGCCCGCCAGCCCCAGCGCUCUUGGCCUGUGGGUGAUGGUGAAUCCUCGGUUGUCUUGGCUUCCAAGAGCAGACUCUCAGCCUCUCAAUCAGGGAAAAUAGUCUAUUUUAUCAAUUUUAUGAUGAGGCAUACUCAACCAGUCAUGUUAGAUCUACCAGUGACAGAAACUAAUAUGAGUGUUGAAAACUGAACUUGGAAGACAGAAUUGGCUUCCCAGAGUACUCCAACCUAAUUUGCAUCAGAAAAAUAUCAAAUCAGUUUUGGCCAGAAUGGAAUGAAAAGCAC